This 472-nucleotide ribosomal RNA is filed under the name uncultured bacterium. RNAcentral describes it as "bacterial SSU rRNA". It matches the Rfam family "Bacterial small subunit ribosomal RNA", at positions 335 to 801 of the family's 1533-position model. The record is from RNAcentral.
ACUCCUACGGGAGGCAGCAGUGGGGAAUAUUGCACAAUGGGGGAAACCCUGAUGCAGCCAUGCCGCGUGUGUGAAGAAGGCCUUCGGGUUGUAAAGCACUUUCAGUAGGGAGGAAGGUAGUGUAGUUAACACCUGCAUUAUUUGACGUUACCUACAGAAGAAGCACCGGCUAACUCCGUGCCAGCAGCCGCGGUAAUACGGAGGGUGCGAGCGUUAAUCGGAAUUACUGGGCGUAAAGCGCAUGCAGGCGGCCUGUUAAGUCAGAUGUGAAAGCCCGGGGCUUAACCUCGGAAUUGCAUUUGAAACUGGCAGGCUAGAGUCUUGUAGAGGGGGGUAGAAUUUCAGGUGUAGCGGUGAAAUGCGUAGAGAUCUGAAGGAAUACCAGUGGCGAAGGCGGCCCCCUGGACAAAGACUGACGCUCAGAUGCGAAAGCUGGGGAGCAAACAGGAUUAGAUACCCUGGUAGGAUAGCG